RNAcentral lists this ribosomal RNA (468 nucleotides) under uncultured bacterium. RNAcentral describes it as "partial 16S ribosomal RNA". It matches the Rfam family "Bacterial small subunit ribosomal RNA", at positions 28 to 507 of the family's 1533-position model. The record is from RNAcentral.
GACGAACGCUGGCGGCGUGCUUAACACAUGCAAGUCGAACGGAAAUGCCCUGCAUUUGUGGGGUGCUCGAGUGGCGAACGGGUGAGUAACACGUGAGUAACCUGCCCUUGACUUUGGUUUAACUUCAUGCAACUUGGGCUAAUACCGGAUAGGAUCUCCUGCUGCAUGGUGGGCGUUGGAAAGUUUCGGCGGUUGGGGAUGGAAUCGCGGCUUAUCAGAUUGUUGGUGGGGUAGUGGCUUACCAAGGCUUGGACGGGUAGCCGAGCUGAGAGGGGAAGCGGACAAAUUAGGACGGGAAUAAGGCACAGACUACAACGGGAGGGAGGGGAGGAGAAUAUAGCAUAAGGGGCGGAGGGCUGAUGCAGCAAAGCAGCGUGGGGGAUGAGAGGCUUCGGGUUGUAAAGCGAUGUCGCCUGUGACGAAGCGAGAGUGACGGUAAUGGGUAAAGAAGCACCGGCUAACUACGUG